RNAcentral lists this ribosomal RNA (492 nucleotides) under uncultured bacterium. RNAcentral's name for it is "partial 16S ribosomal RNA". It matches the Rfam family "Bacterial small subunit ribosomal RNA", at positions 29 to 507 of the family's 1533-position model. The record is from RNAcentral.
AGUGAACGCUGGCGGUAGGCCUAACACAUGCAAGUCGAACGGCAGCACAGUAAGAGCUUGCUCUUACGGGUGGCGAGUGGCGGACGGGUGAGGAAUACAUCGGAAUCUACUUUUUCGUGGGGGAUAACGUAGGGAAACUUACGCUAAUACCGCAUACGACCUACGGGUGAAAGCAGGGGAUCUUCGGACCUUGCGCGAUUGAAUGAGCCGAUGUCGGAUUAGCUAGUUGGCGGGGUAAAGGCACACCAAGGCGACGCUCCGUAGCUGGUCUGAGAGGAUGAUCAGCCACACUGUAAGUGAGACACGGUCCAGACUCCUGCGGGAGGAAGCAGUGGGGAAUAUUGGACAAUGGGCGCAAGCCGGAUCCAGCCAUACCGCGUGAGUGAUGAAGGCCUUCGGGUUGGAAAGCCCUUUUGGUGGGAAAGAAAAGCAGCAGGUUAAUACCCCGCUAUUCUGACGGUACCCAAAGAAUAAGCACCGGCUAACUUCGUG